RNAcentral lists this long non-coding RNA (642 nucleotides) under Capsella grandiflora. RNAcentral's name for it is "long non-coding RNA (CGRA_LNC001252)". The record is from RNAcentral. Lineage: Eukaryota; Viridiplantae; Streptophyta; Magnoliopsida; Brassicales; Brassicaceae.
AAGAAGAGACCAAAUAACAGUCUGUUCUAGUUUGUCCUGAUUUUGGCAGCACAAUUAUUGGUUGGUUUUGUUUUGUUUUUAUCAUCACUAUCCAAAUCACACUUCACUUCACAUGCGAUAUGCCUUUGGUCCCUUGACUGAUACACUGGCUACUACUUCCCAACACACUCCAUGUCUCCUCGUGACUUCUCAUUUCUUUUUCAACCCUCAAAAACUUUGCAUUAAAGUAUGAACUGUAUUCAUUAAGAAACUGUAUAUGAUCAACAAGUUUAUGUGUUUAAAAUAAAAAAAAGGAAUAAGGUAGUCUCGACGAUAACUGUUGUAUUUUUGGUAAGUUUCAAUGUUUCAGGAGAUAUUGGCAACAAAGGUAAGAGAUGUAUCGAUUGCUUAUCCACCGAACAUGACUCACCACAUUAGAGAGCCAAAUCAGACAGAGAUUUCGACCAAAUUUACCAAAGAAACACAUUUUACCAUUUAUCUUUGCACACAUGUGAUGAUGAUCAAGUUGUGCUGGUGCCAGAUAGAACGGACCGGAUCCCACCAAUCAUAUAUCAAACGAGCGAGGGACAUUUUCGCACUUUCAAAUAUCUCUUUGGCCAUAUAUAUAAAGACGAAGGCAUUACACACUCGAAGAAUGUUAUC